UCAAUAUCUGCCAACCCCACUGCAACAGCUAUAGCAACGCACCUUUAAGAUCACAUUUCAGGAAAGAUCCUGUGCAGUUAUCUGACAGUCACCAGCUCUCAUGCUUACUGGAUCCACCAUGGCACUCACACCAAGAGAGGGAAACAUUUAAAAUAUUUGAAUCAAAGCUGAGAUUACUGAAACCAAGCACGCGGUGCUACAGUGUGCUAGCAAUUUUCUUUCAUCUUACUCCACAAAACCAAGAGCAAGAUAAGAAGAUAGGAUGUCGGGAGAAAUAAUAGGCAUCAUGUUAAGUGCCAACCUCUUUUAAAAAGUCUUCUUUGCCACUAAGAUUAACCCCUUCCUAAGGCAAAAAUCUGAACAUGGCAAAUACUUAAGAACUUUUCUGUGAAAUUUCUGAGAAAGUCUAGGCUUAUUUUGUGCAGCAAAUAUGUAUUCACUCAGGUUCAAUGUCUGUUACCUGAAAUUAAUUACAUGUAAUAAGUUAAGAAAAAAACACAAGUCUUAUCUUCAACUUGUAUUUCUUAUAAAUUGGCUGGUAAACCUACAGGUUUAGUAAGAUUCAGAUUUUAUUUUUUGGCAAGACUUUAUCAGAGGUGAUGCUGUGAUCUUCCCCUGGGAGGUGUCCUGUCUGCUCAGCAUCAAAAGCAGCGAUGAUCAAUGCCCAGCCCCAUCAGAUUAAUGAGCCAAACUUCUGGAAAGUAAACUUCAAGAACAAAUAAAUGAAUGCACCCUCGUCACUUUAAAACAUUUUUCCCUUCACAAGAUUUGACUUCAAUCAAAAUUUGGAGAUUGUGAUGUCACAGAAGACUGCUAUAUAUCAGGACAAGGAUAACAAUGGGAAAUAUCUAUUUUAUUCUGGACGACAGUCUGUGACAAUGAUCAUUUUUCUUUGAAUACCACAGUUGCAUUAAAUCAAUCCAAGAAAUU
Molecule: long non-coding RNA, 930 nt
Organism: Talpa occidentalis (Iberian mole)
Lineage: Eukaryota; Metazoa; Chordata; Mammalia; Eulipotyphla; Talpidae
Exons: 3
Source: RefSeq, a predicted model, not a curated record